This 253-nucleotide ribosomal RNA is filed under the name uncultured bacterium. Its description in RNAcentral is "partial 16S ribosomal RNA". It matches the Rfam family "Bacterial small subunit ribosomal RNA", at positions 524 to 776 of the family's 1533-position model. The record is from RNAcentral.
UACGUAGGUGGCAAGCGUUGUCCGGAAUUACUGGGUGUAAAGCGCGUGUAGGCGGCAGGCCAAGUCUGUGGUGAAAGCGCCCGGCUCAACUGGGCGAGGUCCGUGGAAACUGGUCAGCUGGAGGACGGUAGAGGCGAGUGGAAUUCCCGGUGUAGUGGUGAAAUGCGUAGAGAUCGGGAGGAACACCUGUGGCGAAGGCGGCUCGCUGGGCCGGUCCUGACGCUGAGACGCGAAGGCGUGGGGAGCGAACGGG